GACGAACGCUGGCGGCGUGCUUAACACAUGCAAGUCGAACGGAAAGGCACUGCUUUUGUGGGGUGCUCGAGUGGCGAACGGGUGAGUAACACGUGAGUAACCUGCCCUUGACUUUGGGAUAACUUCAGGAAACUGGGGCUAAUACAGGAUAGGAGAUGCUGCUGCAUGGUGGGGGUUGGAAAGUUUCGGCUGUUGGGGAUGGACUCGCGGCUUAUGAGCUUGUUGGUGGGGUAGUGGCUUACCAAGGAUUUGACGGGUAGCCGGCCUGAGAGGGUGACCGGCGACAUUGGGACUGAGAUACGGCCCAGACUCCUACGGGAGGCAGCAGUGGGGAAUAUUGCACAAUGGGCGGAAGCCUGAUGCAGCAACGCCGCGUGCGGGAUGACGGCCUUCGGGUUGUAAACCGCUUUCGCCUGUGACGAAGCGUGAGUGACGGUAAUGGGUAAAGAAGCACCGGCUAACUACGUG
This 468-nucleotide ribosomal RNA is filed under the name uncultured bacterium. Its description in RNAcentral is "partial 16S ribosomal RNA". It matches the Rfam family "Bacterial small subunit ribosomal RNA", at positions 28 to 507 of the family's 1533-position model. The record is from RNAcentral.